CUACCUCUUCAUCGUCACUGUUGUGUUUUGCGGUAGAAAUGGGUACUUGCUUGGAGAACGCACGACAAGAGGGAGAGAAGGCUGGGUUCAAGGGCCCACACGCGUUUAUCGAAGGAAUAAUGAUUACUGGGUAACUCUGUUGACAUUAACCAAAUUGGAACUGUACUUGCUUGGAGUCUACAACAGUAACGCUUGCUUGGUGUGCAACAACCAGUGGUGGCCCUACCAGUCAACACAGUUGUUCGAGAGAUGUCCAGUUUCAUGCAACAGAAAAGACCAGCAAGGGGACCCUCAGAAUCACGCAGACAUGCCCUUCCUGUGAGCAUUCCUGUAAAUGGAACAGUGGGGACACUUGGAUCAGUAUCUUUGAGGGGCCAGGAGCUCAUCUACGCUGCCAUGCCCAUCAAUGGGGCGCUGGCAAAGAACUUACCUCCAGCCUCACUUCUUGCCUGCUUAAUAACGGUCGUCAAUGGAGAGGUAGAUGCAUCUAUUGACCCAGCACUAGGAGACUUGCAAGAUGAUGUGAUGAAGUCCAGACUGACAUACGGGCUUCAUACUGAUGUCUCUAAAUGGAGAGAGACCUGGUACUUGGCAUGAACAUUUUACUAGACAUCUUUUACUUAUUGUCUUUUUUUUAUUAUUGAAUGAAUGGUAUCAGUCAAUAUGGGGAGGGAGAAGCCCAGUGUAUUCUGCACCAGGAUCAGGUAACUCCUGGUGUAUACAGGACACCAUAUAUGUCUUGGUGGCGGCAAGGACACA
Molecule: long non-coding RNA, 759 nt
Organism: Salvelinus namaycush (lake trout)
Lineage: Eukaryota; Metazoa; Chordata; Actinopteri; Salmoniformes; Salmonidae
Exons: 5
Source: RefSeq, a predicted model, not a curated record